UACCUACGGCCCGAGUGGUGACUGUUAUUAUUGGGCCUAAAACGUCCGUAGCCGGCCCUGUAAAUGCUUGGGUAAAGCGUAUCGCUUAACGAUACGAAUUCCGAGUAGACUGCAGGGCUUGAGAGCGGGAGAAGAUACAGGUACUUCUGGGGUAGAGGUGAAAUGCUGUAAUCCUAGGGGGACCACCAGUGGCGAAGGCGUCUAUCUAGAACGAGUCUGACGGUCAGGGACGAAGCCGUGGGGCGCAAACGGG
Molecule: ribosomal RNA, 253 nt
Filed under: uncultured archaeon
Lineage: Archaea
Description: partial 16S ribosomal RNA
Rfam family: Archaeal small subunit ribosomal RNA
Source: RNAcentral